UCCGGCUUCCCGCCGGCAGUCUCCCGAGAGUCCCCGCCAUGACGCGCUGGCAACACGGGACAAGGGUUGCGCUCGUUACGGGACUUAACCCAACAUCUCACGACACGAGCUGACGACAGCCAUGCAGCACCUGUCACUGGGUUCCCGAAGGCACAGUCCUGUCUCCAGGACCUUCCCAGGAUGUCAAGGGCAGGUAAGGUUCUUCGCGUUGCAUCGAAUUAAACCACAUGCUCCACCGCUUGUGCAGGCCCCCGUCAAUUCCUUUGAGUUUUAAUCUUGCGACCGUACUCCCCAGGCGGAUAACUUAAUGCGUUUGCUGCGCCACCGAAGAGCAUGCUCCCCGACGGCUAGCACCCAUAGUUUACGGCGUGGACUAC
Molecule: unclassified non-coding RNA, 377 nt
Filed under: uncultured Pseudomonadota bacterium
Lineage: Bacteria; Pseudomonadati; Pseudomonadota
Description: uncultured proteobacterium contains 16S-23S intergenic spacer region
Source: RNAcentral